AAUUUAGAAGUUUUGGGGUUACUGUAGCUCCAGUUCUGUGCGAACACCGAUCAAUGCACCAGACCUUACGACAAAAUGCACAGA
Molecule: non-coding RNA, 84 nt
Organism: Caenorhabditis elegans
Lineage: Eukaryota; Metazoa; Nematoda; Chromadorea; Rhabditida; Rhabditidae
Source: Ensembl